Molecule: long non-coding RNA, 444 nt
Organism: Ahaetulla prasina
Lineage: Eukaryota; Metazoa; Chordata; Lepidosauria; Squamata; Colubridae
Exons: 3
Source: RefSeq, a predicted model, not a curated record
CUCAAUAAAAAUUUCAAAGCAAGAAAUUAAGUGGUAUAUAUGGUAAUCCUACCAUGACUGAGCUCCAAAAAUCUGGACAACUACUAUACACGGCAAUGAGUUAAACAAAGCCAUAGAAGUAUUUCUCAGAGUUAAAAAAUUAUAUUUAGAAAAUAACAACAAAAAAUUAUUUUGACACAAAACCUGCACAUGGAUCUAGCCAGUUGCUAUAGGAGUGACAUCAAGGGACAUGUCUAAUUGUGGAUGAUGUAUCAAUGCAGAAUUAUGUAAUCAUCAGCCUAAAGCAGCAAUAUGUUAAACUUAACUGCUUUUCUUCAUGUCAAGGAGAGUUAGAGUCUAUAACAAGUCUCCAUUUCACCAGAUGCAGGAGCCAGAACAAAAGGACUUAAUGAAAUGAUCUGUUUAUAAAACGGUAAGUGCAGGUCUGCAUUAAAUCCUUUUUAA